Molecule: ribosomal RNA, 440 nt
Filed under: uncultured bacterium
Lineage: Bacteria
Description: partial 16S ribosomal RNA
Rfam family: Bacterial small subunit ribosomal RNA
Source: RNAcentral
CCUACGGGAGGCAGCAGUGGGGGAUAUUGCACAAUGGGGGAAACCCUGAUGCAGCGACGCCGCGUGGGUGAAGAAGCGCCUCGGCGCGUAAAGCCCUGUCAGCAGGGAAGAAAAUGACGGUACCUGAAGAAGAAGCCCCGGCUAACUACGUGCCAGCAGCCGCGGUAAUACGUAGGGGGCCAGCGUUAUCCGGAUUUUCUGGGUGUAAAGGGGGCGCAGACGGCGCUGCAAGCCAGGAGUGAAAGCCCGGGGCCCAACCCCGGGACUGCUCUUGGAACUGCGUGGCUAGAGUGCAGGAGGGGCAGGCGGAAUUCCUGGUGUAGCGGUGAAAUGCGUAGAUAUCAGGAGGAACACCGGUGGCGAAGGCAGCCUGCUGGACUGCAACUGACGUUGAGGCCCGAAAGCGUGGGGAGCAAACAGGAUUAGAUACCCGGGUAGUC